Molecule: ribosomal RNA, 419 nt
Filed under: uncultured bacterium
Lineage: Bacteria
Description: bacterial SSU rRNA
Rfam family: Bacterial small subunit ribosomal RNA
Source: RNAcentral
AAUAUUGGACAAUGGUCGCAAGACUGAUCCAGCCAUGCCGCGUGCAGGAUGAAUGCCCUAUGGGUUGUAAACUGCUUUUAUACGGGAAUAAACCCCUCUACGUGUAGAGGGCUGAAUGUACUGUAAGACUAAGGGUCGGCUAACUUCGUGCCAGCAGCCGCGGUAAGACGAAGGACCCAAGCGUUAUCCGGAUUCAUUGGGUUUAAAGGGUGCGUAGGCGGGUUGAUAAGUCAGUGGUGAAAGCCCAACGCUUAACGUUGGAACUGCCAUUGAUACUGUCGAUCUUGAAUGUGUUUGAUGUGGGCGGAAUAUGACAUGUAGCGGUGAAAUGCUUAGAUAUGUCAUAGAACACCGAUUGCGAAGGCAGCUCACAAAGCCACUAUUGACGCUGAGGCACGAAAGCGUGGGGAUCAAACAGG